GACGAACGCUGGCGGCGUGCCUAAUACAUGCAAGUAGGACGCACAGUCUAUACCGUAGCUUGCUACACCAUAGACUGUGAGUUGCGAACGGGUGAGUAACGCGUAGGUAACCUGCCUAUUAGAGGGGAUAACUAUUGGAAACGAUAGCUAAUACCGCAUAACAGUAUGUAACACAUGUUAGAUGCUUGAAAGAUGCAAUUGCAUCGCUAGUAGAUGGACCUGCGUUGUAUUAGCUAGUAGGUAGGGUAAUGGCCUACCUAGGCGACGAUACAUAGCCGACCUGAGAGGGUGAUCGGCCACACUGGGACUGAGACACGGCCCAGACUCCUACGGGAGGCAGCAGUAGGGAAUCUUCGGCAAUGGGGGGAACCCUGACCGAGCAACGCCGCGUGAGUGAAGAAGGUUUUCGGAUCGUAAAGCUCUGUUGUUAAGGAAGAACGAGUGUGAGAAUGGAAAGUUCAUACUGUGACGGUACUUAACCAGAAAGGGACGGCUAACUACGUGCCAGCAGCCGCGGUAAUACGUAGGUCCCGAGCGUUGUCCGGAUUUAUUGGGCGUAAAGCGAGCGCAGGCGGUUAGAAAAGUCUGAAGUGAAAGGCAGUGGCUCAACCAUUGUAGGCUUUGGAAACUGUUUAACUUGAGUGCAGAAGGGGAGAGUGGAAUUCCAUGUGUAGCGGUGAAAUGCGUAGAUAUAUGGAGGAACACCGGUGGCGAAAGCGGCUCUCUGGUCUGUAACUGACGCUGAGGCUCGAAAGCGUGGGGAGCGAACAGG
This 772-nucleotide ribosomal RNA is filed under the name Streptococcus anginosus. RNAcentral describes it as "bacterial SSU rRNA". It matches the Rfam family "Bacterial small subunit ribosomal RNA", at positions 28 to 776 of the family's 1533-position model. The record is from RNAcentral. Lineage: Bacteria; Bacillati; Bacillota; Bacilli; Lactobacillales; Streptococcaceae.